UACCAGCUCUCCGAGUGGUGUGGAUGUUUAUUGGGCCUAAAGCAUCCGUAGCUGGCUGGGCAAGUCCCCUGUUAAAUCCACCGAUUUAAUCGUUGGUGUGCGGGGGAUACUGUUCGGCUAGGGGACGGGAGAGGCCGACGGUAUUUUCGGGGGUAGGGGUGAAAUCCUAUAAUCCCGGGAAGACCACCAGUGGCGAAGGCUGUCGGCUAGAACGCGCCCGACGGUGAGGGAUGAAAGCUGGGGGAGCGAACCGGAUUAGAUACCCGGGUAGUCCCAGCUGUAAACGAUGCAGGCUAGGUGUUUGGGCGGCCACGUGCCGCUCUAGUGCCGCAGAGAAGUCGUUAAGCCUGCCGCCUGGGGAGUACGGCCGCAAGGCUGAAACUUAAAGGAAUUGGCGGGGAGCACGGCAACGGGAGGAGCGUGCGGUUU
This 429-nucleotide ribosomal RNA is filed under the name uncultured archaeon. RNAcentral's name for it is "bacterial SSU rRNA". It matches the Rfam family "Archaeal small subunit ribosomal RNA", at positions 474 to 903 of the family's 1478-position model. The record is from RNAcentral.